GGCUGAUAUGGGAAGAGGUGUCCGGCUGCGCAAAGGUAGUGCAAUGAACCACAUGACCGACGCACGACGAUGUGUAUGUCACGCAACAACAGCAAUCAGCAGAAUAUAUACGGGAGUUUAUUAAAGGUGUAUCGUGCAGUUUUAACUCAAGCCAGCCAUGAGAAAUUCUAGGCAUAAUAAACUUUAUCACAAGAACAUUGGAAUUCCGUAUGGCAGAAGAUAUAACCAGAUAAAACGAAAUGAAGCUCUUGUCAACAUAGCAACAACACCCAGGAUUUCUUCAGGGCACAGAAGGUUGUCGGAGCCAGGACAAGGGGAUGAAGACGAUUACGUGUCAUUAAUUCAACACAUUAGUAGUGGAUAUAGUAACUCAACUGUUAGCGAUAAUGUAGCAGAAGAC
Molecule: long non-coding RNA, 400 nt
Organism: Topomyia yanbarensis
Lineage: Eukaryota; Metazoa; Arthropoda; Insecta; Diptera; Culicidae
Exons: 4
Source: RefSeq, a predicted model, not a curated record